CCAGACUCCUACGGGAGGCAGCAGUGGGGAAUAUUGCACAAUGGGGGAAACCCUGAUGCAGCAACGCCGCGUGAGUGAGGAAGUAUUUCGGUAUGUAAAGCUCUAUCAGCAGGGAAUAGAAAAGAAGGUACCUGAAAAAGAAGCCCCGGCUAACUACGUGCCAGCAGCCGCGGUAAUACGUAGGGGGCAAGCGUUAUCCGGAUUUACUGGGUGUAAAGGGGGCGCAGACGGCAGCGCAAGCCAGGAGUGAAAGCCCGGGGCCCAACCCCGGGACUGCUCUUGGAACUGCGCGGCUGGAGUGCAGGAGGGGCAGGCGGAAUUCCUGGUGUAGCGGUGAAAUGCGUAGAUAUCAGGAGGAACACCGGUGGCGAAGGCGACUUUCUGGACUGUACCUGACGCUGAGGCGCGAAAGCGUGGGUAGCGAACGGGAUUAGAUACCCCCGUA
Molecule: ribosomal RNA, 445 nt
Filed under: uncultured bacterium
Lineage: Bacteria
Description: partial 16S ribosomal RNA
Rfam family: Bacterial small subunit ribosomal RNA
Source: RNAcentral